Molecule: long non-coding RNA, 1043 nt
Organism: Amphiprion ocellaris (clown anemonefish)
Lineage: Eukaryota; Metazoa; Chordata; Actinopteri; Pomacentridae
Exons: 2
Source: RefSeq, a predicted model, not a curated record
UACAAGUUGUAGUAGCAGUGCCAGUAUCAGCAGCAGUAGUGAGUACUACCAAUACUACUACUAGUAGUAGUCACAUUGCUAUUACUACCACCAAUACUACCAAUAGUAGUUAUAAAGCCUAACUCAUGUAUAUCCAGAUUACCAUCUAUGUUCGUCCUCCAAACCCAUUUUAUGAUUGGGAUUACAGGUAGUUCUUUAGGACUGCUCUCAAAUAAUUGAAAUGUUACUAAACAAGGUUAUACUUAUCAAAUUAAAUAACUCUGGUCUCCAGUAUAUUGGCGAAUUCGGUUCUUUGUACUUAAUUUAUUAGCAUGAUUUCUUUUUAAUAUGUUGUGUACAGACUUAAUUACUUCUCUGUCUACUUUUCUUACUCCAUGUAGGUUUCCCAGAGACUAUGGGUUGAGGAGGAAUUGGAAGUUUGUCGGCUUAGACCUGGUGUCAUUCCAUCAGUGUUAAACUUCCCGGCUCAUCUUGGAAGAGUACGUGCCAGAAAGACCACGACCAAGCAGCCUUGAGAUCUUAGGCAGCGUCUCCCUGAGGUCCCUCUCUAUCUCCCCACACAUCCACCAACCACUGGAACACAUCUCCAAAGUUCUGCUGGACCAGCUCAGCUUCCCCUCAGAAGAAGUGCUGCCACCUGCCAGAUGAAGGAGCCUUUUGAGAGGCAGCUGGCAUCGUGAUUGGACUGUACUUUGGUCUGUUCCAAUCCAGCUUCAGCUCCAGAGACGGCAGGCGGGACGAGUCAACGGAGGCCGGAUGGACGAAGGCAUGCAGCUGAGUACAAUCCAGAAAACAACAGAGGAGGAGUGCAGCAGCCCAGAGCCAGAACAACCAGAGUAGCAUCGUAUGUCUCUUAGAAAACAUCAUAGUAUAGCCUUUGGUAUGAAAAAACGCCAUCAUAUACAUCGUAUAUUGUACAAAUAACAAGUCAAAGGAAAGAGACAUACAUUGUAGAAUUGUAGUAAUUGUGGGCUGACUGAUUUACUGAUUAUCAGUAUUUUAUUUUUUACUGAUUUACGGUAAUAAAUACAUUUAAAAAUGGU